RNAcentral lists this unclassified non-coding RNA (395 nucleotides) under soil metagenome. RNAcentral's name for it is "partial contains 5.8S ribosomal RNA, internal transcribed spacer 2, and large subunit ribosomal RNA". The stretch from base 1 to 122 matches the Rfam family "5.8S ribosomal RNA", at positions 35 to 154 of the family's 154-position model. The record is from RNAcentral.
GAUGAAGAACGUAGCGAAAUGCGAUACUUGGUGUGAAUUGCAGAAUCCCGUGAACCAUCGAGUCUUUGAACGCAAGUUGCGCCCGAAGCCAUCAGGUUGAGGGCACGUCUGCCUGGGCGUCACAUAUCGUUGCCCAAUGCCUAUUGCAGUGCAAUAGGAAUUUCUAGGGCGAAUGAUGGCUUCCCGUGAGCGUUGUUGCCUCGCGGUUGGUUGAAAAUCGAGUCCUUGGUAGGAUGUGCCAUGGUAGAUGGUGGUCGAGUUAGAACGAUACCGAUCAUGUGCAUGCUCCCCAAAAUAUGGCCUCUAUGACCCACACGCGUCUUUUGACGCUCAUGACGAGACCUCAGGUCAGGCGGGGCUACCCGCUGAAUUUAAGCAUAUCAAUAAGCGGAGGA